GAGGAAUAUUGGUCAAUGGACGAGAGUCUGAACCAGCCAAGUAGCGUGAAGGAUGACUGCCCUAUGGGUUGUAAACUUCUUUUAUACGGGAAUAAAGUGAGGCACGUGUGCCUUUUUGUAUGUACCGUAUGAAUAAGGAUCGGCUAACUCCGUGCCAGCAGCCGCGGUAAUACGGAGGAUCCGAGCGUUAUCCGGAUUUAUUGGGUUUAAAGGGAGCGUAGGCGGACGCUUAAGUCAGUUGUGAAAGUUUGCGGCUCAACCGUAAAAUUGCAGUUGAUACUGGGUGUCUUGAGUACAGUAGAGGCAGGCGGAAUUCGUGGUGUAGCGGUGAAAUGCUUAGAUAUCACGAAGAACUCCGAUUGCGAAGGCAGCUUGCUGGACUGUAACUGACGCUGAUGCUCGAAAGUGUGGGUAUCAAACAGGAUUAGAUACCCUGGUAGUCCACACAGUAAACGAUGAAUACUCGCUGUUUGCGAUAUACAGUAAGCGGCCAAGCGAAAGCGUUAAGUAUUCCACCUGGGGAGUACGCCGGCAACGGUGAAACUCAAAGGAAUUGACGGGGGCCCGCACAAGCGGAGGAACAUGUGGUUUAAUUCGAUGAUACGCGAGGAACCCUUACCCGGGCUUGAAUUGCAACUGAAUGAUGUGGAGACAUGUCAGCCGCAAGGCAGUUGUGAAGGUGCUGCAUGGUUGUCGUCAGCUCGUGCCGUGAGGUGUCGGCUUAAGUGCCAUAACGAGCGCAACCCUUAUCGAUAGUUACCAUCAGGUUAUGCUGGGGACUCUGUCGAGACUGCCGUCGUAAGAUGUGAGGAAGGUGGGGAUGACGUCAAAUCAGCACGGCCCUUACGUCCGGGGCUACACACGUGUUACAAUGGGGGGUACAGAAGGCAGCUACACGGCGACGUGAUGCUAAUCCCGAAAGCCUCUCUCAGUUCGGAUUGGAGUCUGCAACCCGACUCCAUGAAGCUGGAUUCGCUAGUAAUCGCGCAUCAGCCACGGCGCGGUGAAUACGUUCCCG
Molecule: ribosomal RNA, 1018 nt
Filed under: uncultured organism
Description: bacterial SSU rRNA
Rfam family: Bacterial small subunit ribosomal RNA
Source: RNAcentral